ACGCUGACAGAAUGCUUAACACAUGCAAGUCUACUUGAACUUCGGUUUGGGUGGCGGACGGGUGAGUAACGCGUAAAGAACUUGCCUCACAGUUAGGGACAACAUUUGGAAACGAAUGCUAAUACCUGAUAUUAUGAUUUUAGGGCAUCCUAAAAUUAUGAAAGCUAUAUGCGCUGUGAGAGAGCUUUGCGUCCCAUUAGCUAGUUGGAGAGGUAACGGCUCACCAAGGCGAUGAUGGGUAGCCGGCCUGAGAGGGUGAACGGCCACAAGGGGACUGAGACACGGCCCUUACUCCUACGGGAGGCAGCAGUGGGGAAUAUUGGACAAUGGACCAAAAGUCUGAUCCAGCAAUUCUGUGUGCACGAUGACGUUUUUCGGAAUGUAAAGUGCUUUCAGUUGGGAAGAAAAAAAUGACGGUACCAACAGAAGAAGUGACGGCUAAAUACGUGCCAGCAGCCGCGGUAAUACGUAUGUCACAAGCGUUAUCCGGAUUUAUUGGGCGUAAAGCGCGUCUAGGUGGUUAUGUAAGUCUGAUGUGAAAAUGCGGGGCUCAACUCUGUAUUGCGUUGGAAACUGCAUGACUAGAGUACUGGAGAGGUAAGCGGAACUACAAGUGUAGAGGUGAAAUUCGUAGAUAUUUGUAGGAAUGCCGAUGGGGAAGCCAGCUUACUGGACAGAUACUGACGCUAAAGCGCGAAAGCGUGGGUAGCAAACAGGAUUAGAUACCCUGGUAGUCCACGCCGUAAACGAUGAUUACUAGGUGUUGGGGGUCGAACCUCAGCGCCCAAGCUAACGCGAUAAGUAAUCCGCCUGGGGAGUACGUACGCAAGUAUGAAACUCAAAGGAAUUGACGGGGACCCGCACAAGCGGUGGAGCAUGUGGUUUAAUUCGACGCAACGCGAG
Molecule: ribosomal RNA, 903 nt
Filed under: uncultured bacterium
Lineage: Bacteria
Description: bacterial SSU rRNA
Rfam family: Bacterial small subunit ribosomal RNA
Source: RNAcentral